RNAcentral lists this ribosomal RNA (857 nucleotides) under uncultured bacterium. RNAcentral describes it as "bacterial SSU rRNA". It matches the Rfam family "Bacterial small subunit ribosomal RNA", at positions 524 to 1381 of the family's 1533-position model. The record is from RNAcentral.
UACGUAGGGUGCGAGCGUUACUCGGAAUUACUGGGCGUAAAGCGUGCGCAGGUGGUUUGUUAAGUCAGAUGUGAAAGCCCCGAGCUUAACUUGGGAACUGCGUUUGAGACUGGCAAGCUAGAGUCUGUCAGAGGGGGGUAGAAUUCCCCGUGUAGCAGUGAAAUGCGUAGAGAUGUGGAGGAAUACCAAUGGCGAAGGCAGCCCCCUGGGAUAAGACUGACGCUCAUGCACGAAAGCGUGGGGAGCAAACAGGAUUAGAUACCCUGGUAGCCCACGCCCUAAACGAUGUCAACUGGUUGUUGGGCAACUUGAUUGUUCAGUAGCGAAGCUAACGCGAGAAGUUGACCGCCUGGGGAGUACGGUCGCAAGAUUAGAACUCAAAGGAAUUGACGGGGGCCCGCACAAGCAGUGGAGCAUGUGGUUUAAUUCGAAGCAACGCGAAGAACCUUACCAGGACUUGACAUCCCCCUGACGGGAGUAGAGAUAUUCCGUCCCUUCGGGGCAGGGGAGACAGGUGGUGCAUGGUUGUCGUCAGCUCGUGUCGUGAGAUGUUGGGUUAAGUCCCGCAACGAGCGCAACCCUUGCUAUUAAUUGCCAUCAUUAAGUUGGGCACUUUAAUAGGACUGCUGGUGAUAAACCGGAGGAAGGUGGGGAGGACGUCAAAUCAUCAUGCCCCUUAUGUCCUGGGCCACACACGUGCUACAAUGGGCGGUACAACGGGAAGCAAGAGAGCGAUCUGGAGCGAAACCCUAAAAGCCGUUCGUAGUUCGGAUUGCAGGCUGCAACCCGCCUGCAUGAAGCCGGGAAUUGCUAGUAAUCGCGGAUCAGCAUGCCGCGGUGAAUCCGUUCCCGGGCCU